Long non-coding RNA from Trachemys scripta elegans, 693 nucleotides. RefSeq lists it as uncharacterized. The record is from RefSeq and is a predicted model, not a curated record. The transcript has 2 exons. Lineage: Eukaryota; Metazoa; Chordata; Testudines; Emydidae.
AGAUCCAGACUAACACGGCUACCCCUUUGAUAGUUAGUUAAAGGUGUAGUGAGGAUGAGGAAUUGAACGGCUCAGUGGACUUGUAAUGGACCCAUCAAACCUCUCUCACUGCUAGGCCCCCCUUAGUCUGAAUGAGCCCAACAUUCAUAGCGACUUUCACGCUUUGCUGUUUGGUGGUGGUUGAUGGCAGCCCACUUUCUAGUAGUAAUGGGCCAGCACUGAAGCUGCUUGAGUCCCUUGGUGUUGCGCCUCCCUCUGUCCUUUGACACUUUGUGUGGUUGCAGCUUCACAUGUCAUUUGUGUUUUCCCAUCAUUAGGGAAUCACAGGUUGGUUGCCUUGGCUGACAUUUUCUCUGAAGAUUCAUCCUCUUCCAUCUGCCAGUUGGACGUCAGCUCAAACUGCAUCAAGCCGGACGGGCUCCUGGAGUUUGCGAAGAAGCUGGAGAGCCACAUCCUGCAGAGAGGCGGGCAGAUCAAGUUUACCCACCUCCGCCUCUUUCAGAACUGGUUGGACCAAGAUGCUGCAACAGCUCAAGAGGCGCUUCGGCGGCUCAGAGCCGUGUGCAGCGUGGUCAGCAACACAUGGGACUCUUCGCAGGCCUUUGCUGACUACAUUAGUGUGAUGUAAAGAGCGCCUAGGAACUGCUGUAACAUCGAUAGCGAGAGCUUGAAAUAAAGUUGUACAGAACAGUG